ACACUAAUUAUUGAGAGGAAGCAUAAUUUUUAAGUUUGAAACACUUAAUGGUAACGAGAUUAUUUCUUUUUAGAUGUUGACUUGGUUGAAAACAUCAUUCCAAUAGAGAAAAGGAAGAAGAAAACCAAAGUUACCCCAAUGGAUACCCACUGCAAUGGUUUCCAAGGACAUCAUGAAAGACUUCCUGGAGCCUCCUGCCUGCCUCAUGUAUAGAGUAAAAUUAUGUGUAUCUUGGAGCCUAUGUAAUGGAUUUGGUUUACCUAUACGUACGUAUAUAGAUAAUAUGUAUGAUAUGUCCAAUGGCACAGAUAGUUGAAAUUACUUACCUAACUCAGAUCUAGGGAUAAGAGUACUUGAGUGUAAUCAUGUAAGAUUAGACAUUUACAAGGAAAGAGUUCUUUGGAAAAUUUAGUCCAAUUUCCUAGCUCAUGUUGUUUUAUCUACAGAGUUAUCUACUUGAGAUUUGAUUUGAACACAAAACUCAAUGUAAUUUUGUGAAUAUUCUAAAAUCAACAUAGCUGGGCCUGAACUAUCAAACCUGGGUCACACAUGAGUCAAGUAUACAAAAGCAGAAAUCAUGAAGAUAUAAUUUAGGUAUGAGACAGAUAAGGUAGAAGUUACAAUUGGGUAAUUCAUGGAAAGGAAAUGUUAACAGGCUUACUCCUCACAUUUAUUCAAAUUCUGUGUCCAUAAAAAUUGCCAUAUUUCAUGUUUUACAAAAUUUUCAAUCGCUCCUUUGGCAAGAAAGCCCAGAGAAAUCGUACACUGCCAUUUAUUAAACCUAUAAAAGGUGAUAUAUGUUGCCUAAGCAUUUUCCUUAUCUAGAAAAUAAAACUCUUCCUUAUUCUUCA
This 851-nucleotide long non-coding RNA is filed under the name Oryctolagus cuniculus (rabbit). Its description in RNAcentral is "lncRNA (ENSOCUG00000039246.1)". The record is from RNAcentral. Lineage: Eukaryota; Metazoa; Chordata; Mammalia; Lagomorpha; Leporidae.